GAUGAACGCUGGCGGCGUGCCUAAUACAUGCAAGUCGAGCGAACGGACGAGAAGCUUGCUUCUCUGAUGUUAGCGGCGGGCGGGUGAGUAACACGUGGAUAACCUACCUAUAAGACUGGGAUAACUUCGGGAAACCGGAGCUAAUACCGGAUGAUAUUUUGAACCGCAUGGUUCAAAAGUGAAAGACGGUCUUGCUGUCACUUAUAGAUGGAUCCGCGCUGCAUUAGCUAGUUGGUAAGGUAACGGCUUACCAAGGCAACGAUGCAUAGCCGACCUGAGAGGGUGAUCGGCCACACUGGAACUGAGACACGGUCCAGACUCCUACGGGAGGCAGCAGUAGGGAAUCUUCCGCAAUGGGCGAAAGCCUGACGGAGCAACGCCGCGUGAGUGAUGAAGGUCUUCGGAUCGUAAAACUCUGUUAUUAGGGAAGAACAUAUGUGUAAGUAACUGUGCACAUCUUGACGGUACCUAAUCAGAAAGCCACGGCUAACUACGUG
Molecule: ribosomal RNA, 497 nt
Filed under: uncultured bacterium
Lineage: Bacteria
Description: partial 16S ribosomal RNA
Rfam family: Bacterial small subunit ribosomal RNA
Source: RNAcentral